UAGCAGAUUGAGUUAUUCUUUGCUUUCUUGAUUUGAUAAAUAACAAUUUUGAUGCAUUGUGAGGAACAUGAUCAGAGCAGGGGUUUCGCAAUGAUAUAAAAGUUGUUUUUGGGUGUUAAGAUUUAAAAAUUAAAAAUAAAACAUUAAAUGGAAAAUCUCUACACCCAUUAUCCUGAGCUAAUAUAAAAGUAAGGCAUUGAGAGUAGUUUUUAGAAAAAUAGUAUUUUAUUAAAUGUAAUAUGGUUUAUUUAGCAAGUUGGUCUGGUGGAGUGCCUAUCAGGAAAGAUGUUCAACAUGAAGUAAAGGGGGAACCACCUGUAACUUGAGCAGGAUUUUGAAGAUGAAAACUUGGUCGAACGCACUGAGGUUUAUCCAUCAAGUUGGCCUUCUGGUGUGCCUAUUAAGGAAAUUGUGGGUUGCAACAGCAUUGAGAAAAAGAUAAAGGAAUUGUUGUUUGUGUAGAUUAUUUUUUUUGUUUUUUGUUCCAUAUAAAAGUUCAUUCAAGGGAAUUGGUUUCAGAAAGACAUUGUACACGAGGUCAAAGAAAAACAUGAUUAUUGUAGUGUAAUUGAAUAUGGUUUAGGAUGAGUUAAUAUUGUAUGGGUCUUUAUGGAGCUUCUUUAUUUUGGCUAUUUAGAAUAAUGUGACAUAAAUCUUAUACUUUUCUUUUAGGCAUGCAUGUGGAUUGAUGAUGAUUAAGAUAAUGAAUCUGGGCAAGAAAUCAAUGACAGAGAUUAUGUGGUUAAGGUAUACAAGAUUGAGGACAUUAGUGAUGAAGAAGAUGGGAUGAAGCAUAAGGACUUGUCAAGAAAGAAGAUUGGACUAGGUACAAGGCAAUUGACAUACACAGAAGAAGACAGAGACUUUAAAGACGAACGAUGAGGAUCAUGAAGUUUAGUUACAAGUAGAGUUUUUAUAAAUGAUGAUAGUGAGGGAUAUGAAGCCUUUGUUAUUGAAGUUUGGGUUGACUUUAACUCUCCCCUUUUAAAGAAUUUUUGACUCUCCCCUUAGAACCAGAAGGAUCAAUCCCUCCCUGCUGCCUUCCUUGCCACUCUUUGGGAAAUUAGGAGGUGUGGCUUACAGUUGCAGCGGUAGGAAUACUGAAGACAAUUGACGAUGACAUUCCAGUACUCCUCGAGGCAUACACAACUCUAAAAUCUGAUGGUCAUUUAUAUCUCCUGAUAGAAAACCAUGAUUACAUUACUGUUCGGAGGCUCAAGAAAUAAUUCAUGCAACCCAUGUUCAAAUGUAAUGUAUUAAGAAUGAUACCUGUGUUGUCAAGUUAAUGGGCUGCUACAGUGGUAAGCAGAUAUAUGCUCCAUUAGGCAUUCUUGAAGCUGAAGCUAAGGCAAUGGAAGCUGCUGUGAUGUUUGCAAAGGGAUGUUGGAAUUCAAGAGAUCAUUUUCGAAGGGGACUCACUACAAGUAUACAAUUUUCUUAAAGGAGGCUCCUUAGUCUCACCUGCUGUUGCUAACGUGUUGGAAGGCAUUCUUUAUAAUUUUCAAGCUUUUCGUUCUUUUGAUUUUUCUCACAUAAAAAGGGUAGGCAAUGGGCCAGCCCAUCUUCUAGCUCAUCAUGCUAAGUCUAUAGUUGAUUUUGAGGCAUGGGUUGAAGAAACCCCCAGUUUUUUAGAAGCUGCUUUGGCCUUUGAUGUAGCUGCUUGCAGUAUUUGAGUUUUAUUAAUGUUAUGCAUU
Long non-coding RNA from Quercus lobata, 1694 nucleotides. RefSeq lists it as uncharacterized. Lineage: Eukaryota; Viridiplantae; Streptophyta; Magnoliopsida; Fagales; Fagaceae. The record is from RefSeq and is a predicted model, not a curated record. The transcript has 3 exons.